CCUACGGGAGGCAGCAGUAAGGAAUAUUGGUCAAUGGGCGAAAGCCUGAACCAGCCACGCCGCGUGAAGGAAGACGGCCCUACGGGUUGUAAACUUCUUUUCUACGGGAAUAAACCUCAGGACGUGUCCUGAGCUGAAGGUACCGUAGGAAUAAGGAUCGGCUAACUCCGUGCCAGCAGCCGCGGUAAUACGGAGGAUCCAAGCGUUAUCCGGAUUUAUUGGGUUUAAAGGGUGCGUAGGUGGGAGAAUAAGUCAGAGGUGAAAGCUAGCAGCUUAACUGUUAAAUUGCCUUUGAUACUGCUUUCCUUGAGUCUAGUUGGCGUUGGCGGAAUGUGACAUGUAGCGGUGAAAUGCGUAGAUAUGUCACAGAACACCGAUCGCGAAGGCAGCUAACGAAGCUAGUACUGACACUGAUGCACGAAAGCGUGGGGAGCAAACAGGAUUAGAUACCCUGGUAGUCCACGCCGUAAACGAUGAUAACUCGACGUUGGCAAUAUACUGUUCAGCGUCCAAGCGAAAGCGUUAAGUUAUCCACCUGGGGAGUACGAUCGCAAGGUUGAAACUCAAAGGAAUUGACGGCUGGNGAGNGCGAGACGACGACGAGGGAGAGG
RNAcentral lists this ribosomal RNA (611 nucleotides) under uncultured bacterium. Its description in RNAcentral is "bacterial SSU rRNA". It matches the Rfam family "Bacterial small subunit ribosomal RNA", at positions 338 to 947 of the family's 1533-position model. The record is from RNAcentral.